GACGAACGCUGGCGGCGUGCUUAACACAUGCAAGUCGAACGGAAAGGCCCUGCUUUUGUGGGGUGCUCGAGCGGCGAACGGGUGAGUAACACGUGAGUAACCUGCCCUUGACUUUGGGAUAACUUCAGGAAACUGGGGCUAAUACCGGAUAGGAGCUCCUGCUGCAUGGUGGGGGUUGGAAAGUUUCGGCGGUUGGGGAUGGACUCGCGGCUUAUCAGCUUGUUGGUGGGGUAGUGGCUUACCAAGGCUUUGACGGGUAGCCGGCCUGAGAGGGUGACCGGCCACAUUGGGACUGAGAUACGGCCCAGACUCCUACGGGAGGCAGCAGUGGGGAAUAUUGCACAAUGGGCGGAAGCGUGAUGCAGCAACGCCGCGUGCGGGAUGACGGCCUUCGGGUUGUAAACCGCUUUCGCCUGUGACGAAGCGUGAGUGACGGUAAUGGGUAAAGAAGCACCGGCUAACUACGU
This 467-nucleotide ribosomal RNA is filed under the name uncultured bacterium. RNAcentral describes it as "partial 16S ribosomal RNA". It matches the Rfam family "Bacterial small subunit ribosomal RNA", at positions 28 to 506 of the family's 1533-position model. The record is from RNAcentral.